This 121-nucleotide ribosomal RNA is filed under the name Notechis scutatus (mainland tiger snake). The record is from RNAcentral. Lineage: Eukaryota; Metazoa; Chordata; Lepidosauria; Squamata; Elapidae.
UUAGUCCAGAUGACAAUACUGUACUUGGCUGAGCUUGGCUGGGCCUGGAAACUAAACAGGAUCUGGACUGGUUAGUACUUGGACAGGAUUCUUUCAUGGAAUACCAGAACUGGAGGCUAAA